CUACGGGAGGCAGCAGUGGGGAAUAUUGGACAAUGGGGGAAACCCUGAUCCAGCAAUGCCGCGUGUGUGAAGAAGGCCUGCGGGUUGUAAAGCACUUUCGGUUGGGAGGACUGCUUCUAGCACUAAUAUUGUUGGAAGUUGACGUUACCUUCAGAAGAAGCACCGGCUAACUCCGUGCCAGCAGCCGCGGUAAUACGGAGGGUGCAAGCGUUAAUCGGAAUUACUGGGCGUAAAGCGCGCGUAGGCGGCUAGAUCAGUCGGGUGUGAAAGCCCCGGGCUUAACCUGGGAACUGCAUCCGAUACUGUCUAGCUUGAGUACAGGAGAGGAGAGCGGAAUUCCACAUGUAGCGGUGAAAUGCGUAGAUAUGUGGAGGAACACCAAUGGCGAAGGCAGCUCUCUGGCCUGAUACUGACGCUGAGGUGCGAAAGCGUGGGGAGCAAGCAGGAUUAGAUACCCCUGUAGUC
Molecule: ribosomal RNA, 465 nt
Filed under: uncultured bacterium
Lineage: Bacteria
Description: partial 16S ribosomal RNA
Rfam family: Bacterial small subunit ribosomal RNA
Source: RNAcentral